Molecule: long non-coding RNA, 517 nt
Organism: Uranotaenia lowii
Lineage: Eukaryota; Metazoa; Arthropoda; Insecta; Diptera; Culicidae
Exons: 3
Source: RefSeq, a predicted model, not a curated record
ACAGCCGAAAAUGAAAGUUCACUGCUUGAACUGAUUGCCCCAAAUUAUUUUUGCCUUUGUGUUCAGCCAUUGUUGUCAUAUUCAGCAAGGAGCGCAUCGUGAAAUUGUGAAUUUAUGGAGCGAUAAUUUUCUUCAGACCUUCCCUUCGACGUAUACUUUUUGAAAACAAAAAAGAGUGGAACGACAUCCGGAUCUGCCUCCAGUGAAUUGGAAAUAAUUCAACAAAACCUAUACCGAAAGCGAAAAAGGUCUUAAAACAUAGACCACUGCAAUUCAACAAACUAUGGGCUAGCAUUUGGAACGAAUGCUCAAAGAGCAAGCCGGAACAAUGGAAGAAAUAAUGGGCAACCCUCUCGUCGAAAGACUUUUUUCUACAGAUGUAACAUCCGGAUCUGCCUCCAGUGGAUUUGAGACAAUCUCACGCAAGGAUAAUCUUGUCAAGCAGUGUGCAAGGUGGCUUAGCAAACAUGUCUGGGCAGAGAGCAUAAGAACCUAUUCUUCUAUUCACGAACACGUC